GAUAGUGUGAAUUGCAGGACACACUGAACAUCGAUACUUCGAAUGCACUUUGCGGCUCGGGGUCGGACUCCGAGCCUCGCUCGUCUGAGGGUCGUCGA
This 98-nucleotide ribosomal RNA is filed under the name Gordius sp. NP 2005a. RNAcentral's name for it is "partial 5.8S ribosomal RNA". It matches the Rfam family "5.8S ribosomal RNA", at positions 58 to 154 of the family's 154-position model. From Rfam's summary of the family: 5.8S ribosomal RNA (5.8S rRNA) is a component of the large subunit of the eukaryotic ribosome. It is transcribed by RNA polymerase I as part of the 45S precursor that also contains 18S and 28S rRNA. Lineage: Eukaryota; Metazoa; Nematomorpha; Gordioida; Gordea; Gordiidae. The record is from RNAcentral.